This is a small nuclear RNA of Podarcis muralis (Common wall lizard), 163 nucleotides long. Its record names the gene U2. It matches the Rfam family "U2 spliceosomal RNA". From Rfam's summary of the family: U2 is a small nuclear RNA (snRNA) component of the spliceosome (involved in pre-mRNA splicing). Complementary binding between U2 snRNA (in an area lying towards the 5' end but 3' to hairpin I) and the branchpoint sequence (BPS) of the intron results the bulging out of an unpaired adenosine, on the BPS, which initiates a nucleophilic attack at the intronic 5' splice site, thus starting the first of two transesterification reactions that mediate splicing. Lineage: Eukaryota; Metazoa; Chordata; Lepidosauria; Squamata; Lacertidae. The record is from Ensembl.
AUCACUUCUCAACCUUUUGGCUAAGAUCAAGUGUAGUAUGUCUUCUGUUGAGGACUAUAUAUUAAAUGGAUUUUUUGGAGCUGGGAGAUGGAAUAGGGGCUUGCUCCAUCCAUUCCAUGCAUCAACCUGGUACUGCAAUGCCUCCAGGAAUGGUGUGCGCACA